GCUAGAAUUAUUCCUCGACAUCAAGGAUCGAUAUCCCAUCAGCACGUACACCUUAGCUAGAAGCCUAGAACCUCCCCAUUUCUCCAUAAAAAUCACAGAAAACCCUAACGCAAGCAGCCUGGUAGGAGGAUGAGCACUGUCCCAUCCAUGACUAUAACAGUCUUCUGCUUAACUAUAUCUCGGCCUGAAACCAAUCUAGAGACAACCCCUGGUUCCAGCCGUAAAGAAAAGCCAACACAAAGCACCAUUGCCUCCCCUGUUCCAGCUGAAAGAAAAGCCAACAUCUUACACUACACCAGCACCCAACACUUUACCAGUAGACCCCAAGCUAUCACCAUUUUUCCCACGACACCUCACAGACCCUCUUCUCACACCCGAAACCAAUUAUCUCCAGUCUCAAGACUGAAACCAACACAAAUUUAACCGUCAGCCAUACAAAGGAAAGAAGCAAAAUAAUUAACCCUCAUCGCCACCAGCCAUCCUCCAGAAUCAACCGAUAGCUUCAAAGACCAGCCAAUAGCAUGACUAAGGCCAACCAUCGUGAGUGGUAGCAUUCCUCUCUGCAUCAUUCGUUGAUUCCACUAUCCUCAGCUCCUCUAUCCGUAUACAGCCAUGGCAGAACUGGUUUUGGCUGAGGAGUCAUGACGGCACCACCAAUAGCGUCUAUGUAUUCUUUUUGUUCACGACAACCACUACAACUAAGCAACGUUCACACCUUCUCCUCCCCCGUUCAUAGUAUCUGCAGCGCAUAAACAGCUACUGCUUCGGCCAAAGAACAAGAACCACAACAUCGACAGCACCUCCUCUAUUAGAAAGGACAGCCACCUUUCCAGCGGCAGCACCGUAGGUUCCUUCCAGCCAUGCCAGUAGUUUCCAGCAACAGUACCAUAAGCUCCUCAAACCAUGAACCACAGCAGCAUCAGAAGCUUUGCUUCUCAUUCCAAGCUGAAAGCAGCAAAUAUUGUCCUCCCACGUUUCCAGUAAAAGGAUCUUGUUGCAAGGAAGAUCAAGUAUUGUUAGCACCAUCAGUAAAUACUCCAGCCCAGGAAUAACCCCCCUCCCUUUCUUGUUACGAUAGUCUUGCAUAUUUUAUUUUAGUUAACAUCUUUUAGUUCGAAACUCAUAAAUGGUGCCAUUUCCAUGCGUUUUGAGAAUGCAUGCUGCUGGGUUUAAAUGAAUGUUGGGUUAAAUAGUAUAGGGGUUUUAAAGUAUUGUUUAGAAACUGGGUACAGAUCUUUUGUCAUUAGCUACGGUUACCUUUUUUUUGUUUGUGGGCAUGGAUUGAUUAUUUUUACUUGAUGGGCUGAUAGUUAAGCCUUGGGUAUCUUGAUUUAUCUGUUUUGCAUGGAUCGGGCUUCAAUUUGAAAUAUUUGAAUAAAUUUAUGGGCUGUUUUGAAUUUUA
Molecule: long non-coding RNA, 1402 nt
Organism: Populus nigra (black poplar)
Lineage: Eukaryota; Viridiplantae; Streptophyta; Magnoliopsida; Malpighiales; Salicaceae
Exons: 2
Source: RefSeq, a predicted model, not a curated record